UACGGAGGAUGCGAGCGUUAUCCGGAUUUAUUGGGUUUAAAGGGUGCGUAGGCGGACUGUCAAGUCAGCGGUAAAAUUGAGAGGCUCAACCUCUUCCCGCCGUUGAAACUGGUGGUCUUGAGUGGAUGAGAAGUACGCGGAAUGCGUGGUGUAGCGGUGAAAUGCAUAAAUAUCACGCAGAACUCCGAUUGCGAAGGCAGCGUACCGGCAUCCAACUGACGCUGAGGCACGAAAGCGUGGGGAUCAAACAGG
Molecule: ribosomal RNA, 252 nt
Filed under: uncultured bacterium
Lineage: Bacteria
Description: partial 16S ribosomal RNA
Rfam family: Bacterial small subunit ribosomal RNA
Source: RNAcentral